Molecule: ribosomal RNA, 364 nt
Filed under: uncultured bacterium
Lineage: Bacteria
Description: partial 16S ribosomal RNA
Rfam family: Bacterial small subunit ribosomal RNA
Source: RNAcentral
CCUACGGGAGGCAGCAGUGAGGAAUAUUGGUCAAUGGACGAGAGUCUGAACCAGCCAAGCAGCGUGAAGGAUGACUGCCCUAUGGUUUGUAAACUUCUUUUAUAUGGGAAUAAAUCGUUCCACGUGUGGGCUUUUGUAUGUACCAUAUGAAUAAGGAUCGGCUAACUCCGUGCCAGCAGCCGCGGUAAUACGGAGGAUCCGAGCGUUACCCGGAUGUAUUGGGUGUAAAGGGAGCGUAGGUGGAUUGUUAAGUUAGUUGUGAAAGUUUGCGGCUCAACCGUAAAAGUGCAGUUGAAACUGGCAGUCUUGAGUACAGUAGAGGUGGGCGGAAUUCGGGGUGUAGCGGUGAAAUGCUUAGAUAUCA